AUUUAAAAACACCAUGGAAAACCAAGUUGAUGUUCGAUUGGAUGUGUUAACUGAAAAUUUAACACGAUUAAAUGUUUCAAAUGACGUAAUUUAAAGCGGCAAAAAACGUGUAAAAGGAGCUUCGGUUAAAUGUGUCAUAUUUAGAUGUUUCUGCAUUUGAAAAUAACACACUUAGAUUUGCAGUGCAGAUAAUUCACUUAAGCUUUGGCCGUUUACAUUAAAUGUACGCUGUCCUAUUUACGCCACUGAUAUUAGUUACGCGUAUAACCUUCGAUCAUGGUAACAUCAUGGUUCUAAUCUGCAUCUUGGAUUUUUGCUUCACAAUGCAAUAUAUGUGUCAUCAGCAAGUCUGAUAUUAUAAGUUUAAAACGCGCAAUAGGAAAGAAACUAAAUGCUCGCUGCAUGUGGUAGAUAUUAUAACGAAUGGAACGAGCAAAAGUGGAAUAAGUGAUAUAUGAGAUUCGCAAAUGUCGCGUUAAACAAAAUAAUUAAGAAGAAAGAAUACAAAUAGGAGACAUACAGUUGAAGACAGAAGGAUCGAUCGCAUUUUGAUUCCAUUUAUAAACAAUAUCCGUGUUGCUCUCUUCUGUUGAUGCAAGAUGAAAUUUUUUGCCGGUGUUCUGCUAAUGAUAAUGAUACUAAAUUUGGUGCCACUGAAUUCUUGUCAAGAUAACAUUUCAUGGACAUUCGACAGACCAUUAUUCGUGCAACGCAAUAUUAUAAAACUACCUACAAGAACAAGUGCAACCCCGUGUCCCGAAGGUCACAAAUUGGAUUUUCGGGGAAUAUGUCGUGAACGUGUUAGAUAAUUGAGAGGCUUGAAGACAUCAACAUUCCAAAAAUGUUAACUGAAAACCAGAAGCGAGAUGGAAAUCUAAAAUAUCGUCGCGACUAACAACCGCAAAUUGACAAAAAUAUUCCGCAUAGCAAUGAAAUUUCAAUAAAUUUAUAUUGUUAAUUCUGAUCACAAUACAUAUGUAUUUAAAUUAUAUUACCAAUUAUGCGCAUAUAUAAUAAAUUGCACGUUGUAUCAUAUUCCACAAUUUACGUAUAAAUACAUAUAAAUGAUAGAAAUAACAGUGUCUCUUGUCAGAAAGAAUUAAAAACGUA
Long non-coding RNA from Dinoponera quadriceps, 1110 nucleotides. RefSeq lists it as uncharacterized. The transcript has 2 exons. The record is from RefSeq and is a predicted model, not a curated record. NCBI's taxonomy places the organism in Eukaryota, Metazoa, Arthropoda, Insecta, Hymenoptera, Formicidae.